Xiphophorus couchianus (Monterrey platyfish) is the source of this 302-nucleotide long non-coding RNA. RefSeq lists it as uncharacterized. The record is from RefSeq and is a predicted model, not a curated record. The transcript is spliced from 3 exons. Lineage: Eukaryota; Metazoa; Chordata; Actinopteri; Cyprinodontiformes; Poeciliidae.
UGUAUUUUUCAGGCACAUAGUGAAAUUUUGUAGCAUAAUCAAGUACCUAUGUUACCUUCUUUUGUUAAAAAAAUCCUAUAUCUAUCAAAUUUGAGAGGAGAAAUUUCUCUUUGUAAUUUAACACCUUGAAAUUGGGCCUCUGACUCUUUAAAACCUCCUGCUCUUUCUGAAAUUCUGCCUUCAGGAAGUCAUCACACCAUGGCUGCUCUAUUAAUUCUUUAACAAUUUUUUUUUACCAGUGUUUCACUGAGAAGUAGCUCCGAUAAUGAGCUCAGCAGAUGAGUGUUACACCAGGUGUUGCU